This 420-nucleotide ribosomal RNA is filed under the name bacterium. RNAcentral's name for it is "partial 16S ribosomal RNA". It matches the Rfam family "Bacterial small subunit ribosomal RNA", at positions 355 to 776 of the family's 1533-position model. The record is from RNAcentral.
UGGGGGAUAUUGCACAAUGGGCGAAAGCCUGAUGCAGCGACGCCGCGUGGGGGAUGAAGGCUUUCGGGUUGUAAACCUCUUUCGCUAUCGAACAAGGCCCGCUUAGGGUGGGUUGAGGGUAGGUGGAGAAGAAGCGCCGGCUAACUACGUGCCAGCAGCCGCGGUAAUACGUAGGGCGCGAGCGUUGUCCGGAAUUAUUGGGCGUAAAGGGCUUGUAGGCGGCUUGUUGCGCCUGCUGUGAAAACGCGGGGCUUAACUUCGCGCGUGCAGUGGGUACGGGCAGGCUUGAGUGUGGUAGGGGUGACUGGAAUUCCAGGUGUAGCGGUGGAAUGCGCAGAUAUCUGGAGGAACACCGAUGGCGAAGGCAGGUCACUGGGCCAUUACUGACGCUGAGGAGCGAGAGCAUGGGUAGCGAACAGG